This 75-nucleotide antisense RNA is filed under the name Streptomyces sp. DI166. RNAcentral describes it as "ASpks TB sRNA". It matches the Rfam family "ASpks TB sRNA". The record is from Rfam by way of RNAcentral. Lineage: Bacteria; Bacillati; Actinomycetota; Actinomycetes; Kitasatosporales; Streptomycetaceae.
CUUGACCGAGCCGAGCCACAGGGGCCUUCCCGGCUCGCGGCCCUGCCCGUACGUCUCCAGCAGGGCGUGUGCCUC